This 342-nucleotide unclassified non-coding RNA is filed under the name soil metagenome. RNAcentral's name for it is "partial contains 5.8S ribosomal RNA, internal transcribed spacer 2, and large subunit ribosomal RNA". The stretch from base 1 to 120 matches the Rfam family "5.8S ribosomal RNA", at positions 35 to 154 of the family's 154-position model. The record is from RNAcentral.
GAUGAAGAACGUAGCGAAAUGCGAUAAGUAAUGUGAAUUGCAGAAUUCAGUGAAUCAUCGAAUCUUUGAACGCACAUUGCGCCCGCCAGCAUUCUGGCGGGCAUGCCUGUUCGAGCGUCAUUUCAACCCUCGAGCCCCCCCGGGGGCCUCGGGGUUGGGGGACGGCACACCAGCCGCCCCCGAAAUGCAGUGGCGACCUCGCCGCAGCCUCCCCUGCGUAGUAGCACACACCUCGCACCGGAGCGCGGAGACGGUCACGCCGUAAAACGCCCAACUUCUUAGAGUUGACCUCGGAUCAGGUAGGAAUACCCGCUGAACUUAAGCAUAUCAAUAAGCGGAGGA